RNAcentral lists this long non-coding RNA (251 nucleotides) under Citrus sinensis (sweet orange). RNAcentral's name for it is "long non-coding RNA (CSIN_LNC000847)". The record is from RNAcentral. Lineage: Eukaryota; Viridiplantae; Streptophyta; Magnoliopsida; Sapindales; Rutaceae.
GAACUUUAAGAAAAUAUCAAUAAUUUAAAGAGGAUUUUUUAAGUUUUUAAUUUUAUUUUUUUUGUAGGAACUUUAAGAAAAUAUCAAUAAUUUAAAGAGGGUAAAAUAGCCAAUAAUUUUGAUUUUUUUUUUAGCUAUUUCCGUCUACAAACUAUUGUUAAGGGUAAUAUUGUCUUUGCACAGUAAAUUAACGGUCAAUGUUAAAAUUAACUGAUGGUAGGGGUUUUUUUACAAAUAAACCAAUUCUCGCC